AUCACUUGGGGAUUUAGUUAAAAUGCAGAUUCUGGUUCAGUAGAUCUGGAGUGGGGCCUGAAAUUCUGCAUUUCUAACAAGCUCCCAGGUGAUACCA
This 97-nucleotide microRNA precursor is filed under the name Choloepus hoffmanni (Hoffmann's two-fingered sloth). RNAcentral's name for it is "miRNA (ENSCHOG00000016104.1)". The record is from RNAcentral. Lineage: Eukaryota; Metazoa; Chordata; Mammalia; Pilosa; Megalonychidae.